UACGGAGGAUGCAAGCGUUAUCCGGAAUGAUUGGGCGUAAAGCGUCCGCAGGUGGCUAUGUAAGUCUGCUGUUAAAGAGUGAGGCUCAACCUCAUAAGAGCAGUGGAAACUACAUGGCUAGAGUGCGUUCGGGGCAGAGGGAAUUCCUGGUGUAGCGGUGAAAUGCGUAGAUAUCAGAAAGAACACCGGUGGCGAAAGCGCUCUGCUAGGCCGCAACUGACACUGAGGGACGAAAGCGUGGGGAGCGAACAGG
RNAcentral lists this ribosomal RNA (253 nucleotides) under uncultured bacterium. RNAcentral describes it as "partial 16S ribosomal RNA". It matches the Rfam family "Bacterial small subunit ribosomal RNA", at positions 524 to 776 of the family's 1533-position model. The record is from RNAcentral.